GCAGGCGUCGCGAGCCCCGGCUCGACCCGGCUCGGAGGCCUGGCCGCUCUAGCCCCCGACUCGAAGGCUCCGGGACACCAGCCCUCUCCGCUCCGGUGGGCGCCGCGGCCUCGGAGACUAGUUCCGGGAGGGUCGAGGGACGGGCCCGGCCCGCCUCCCGCCGUGUCGCGGCGCACGUAGGUUCCCCGACCUGACAGUGUUGCCUGAGUUUCCAUGGCUCCAGGAUACCAGCCCUGAGGAAUGGAUGUUCUCAGAGAAGCUCCUGUCCCCAGCCCUGCCCUGAGCUCCAGGCUCUGAUGGGGUGCUCCAACAGGGCCCCCGAGCAGGACUGGAGGCAGUCAGAGAAGGACCAGUGGGAGCAGCUGGCAGAAAGCAGGCGGCAGAGGGCCGAGCUGGCCAACCAUCUUCGGGCAGUGCUGGAGGCCCUUUCGGAGCAAGCCCUUGUGCUGCAGAGGCGAGAGCAUGAGCUGGGACUCAGCUGGUCCUGAAGCAGAAACAUGCCACAGCAGUUCUGCUGGCCUCCACCCUGAAACCGGUCAGCAGCUGGAGAGCAGCUGGAGAGGCAGUGUAUCUCGGGCCCAGCUGGAGGCAGAGGAUGCACAGCUGGAGCCUGUCGUGAUAGAUAACAGCCGAAAGCAGCCCCUCAGGGCCCCAGGGCACGGGUCCAUGCUGGGCUGUCAGCUGGGCUGUUGGCUGCCAGUCCGCCUGUGUUAUCAGAGGCUGCAGACACUGCCCUGCCUGGUGGGAGGCAGGGAAGCUACGCCUACCUAUCCGAGGCUCUGUGCUGCCUUUGACCCUCCCACUCAGCCUCCUCCCAGCAGGUGGAGUGCUCCCUGGCCUGCCUGGAGCAGGAGAGGCACCAAAGGCAGGGAUCCCAGGGACAGGCUGAGUGGAGGAGGCCAGACCAGGACAUAGAAGACAAGAUCCUGCUGCUGCAGACAGAAGUGGAAAAGGCCCAGUGGCGUUUGGACCAGAUGACCCACAGCCUCUUGGCCCAGAGCCCAGCCUGGGGAUACCCCAAUACACUCCAGGUCCCGGAGGUACCAGUGCCCCUCAGGAAACAGCUAGAAGCACAAGAAUCACAUCCCAGGCUUCAUGAGGAGAUGGCUGAGUACUGGAGGACACGCUGGCACCAGGUGGCAGUUGCCCUGAAAUUUAAAGAGGAGGAAUUGCAGAGACUCCAGAGGCAGAGUGGGACCUGGCCUCCCCAGCCUCAGCUUGUGGAUCCAGAGCUGGGUACUGAGCCGUACUGGACCAGUGGGCCCCCUCCUGGGAUCGCUGGACUUGGAGCAGAAGAAUUCCUCCAGGACUGGACUGGACACACAAAACUUGGGAACUGUCAACUGCCCUGUUAUUCACCUCGUGAAAAAAGCUGGAUUUAAAUGAGAGCGAAUGGAGCUGACAAUUCCCAGAAACUCGAAUUGAGAUGGUGAGAUUUUAGUUCAGCCCAGGGCGGUCUCAUGAGUGGGUGGUAAAGUUGAGCUUUGAGGUGGUCUUCAGAAGGAGAGGAAUACCCUCCGCGGGCAGAGCUUCCCGGGUUCCGGGCCCUUUGGGACGUCAACACAGGUCUAGCUGCCCUUAGGCUCCUCCGCACACCCUGGUUCCAAUAAUAAAUCCCUUUCCUCUCUGCCGCC
Molecule: long non-coding RNA, 1634 nt
Filed under: Macaca fascicularis (crab-eating macaque)
Lineage: Eukaryota; Metazoa; Chordata; Mammalia; Primates; Cercopithecidae
Description: lncRNA (ENSMFAG00000049274.1)
Source: RNAcentral